This 253-nucleotide ribosomal RNA is filed under the name uncultured bacterium. Its description in RNAcentral is "partial 16S ribosomal RNA". It matches the Rfam family "Bacterial small subunit ribosomal RNA", at positions 524 to 776 of the family's 1533-position model. The record is from RNAcentral.
UACGUAGGGUGCAAGCGUUGUCCGGAAUUAUUGGGCGUAAAGAGCUCGUAGGCGGUUUGUCGCGUCUGUUGUGAAAACCCGAGGCUCAACCUCAGGCCUGCAGUGGGUACGGGCAGACUAGAGUGCGGUAGGGGAGAUUGGAAUUCCUGGUGUAGCGGUGGAAUGCGCAGAUAUCAGGAGGAACACCAAUGGCGAAGGCAGAUCUCUGGGCCGUAACUGACGCUGAGGAGCGAAAGCAUGGGGAGCGAACAGG